UACGUAGGGUGCAAGCGUUGUCCGGAAUUAUUGGGCGUAAAGAGCUUGUAGGCGGUUUGUCGCGUCUGCUGUGAAAUUUCGGGGCUCAACCCCGAACUUGCAGUGGGUACGGGCAGACUAGAGUGUGGUAGGGGAGACUGGAAUUCCUGGUGUAGCGGUGAAAUGCGCAGAUAUCAGGAGGAACACCUAUGGCGAAGGCAGCUCGCUGGGACGGUACUGACGCUGAGGCGCGAAAGCGUGGGGAGCGAACAGG
Molecule: ribosomal RNA, 253 nt
Filed under: uncultured bacterium
Lineage: Bacteria
Description: partial 16S ribosomal RNA
Rfam family: Bacterial small subunit ribosomal RNA
Source: RNAcentral